This 75-nucleotide transfer RNA is filed under the name Bacteroidota bacterium. RNAcentral describes it as "Bacteroidetes bacterium (permafrost metagenome) tRNA-Met". It matches the Rfam family "tRNA". Rfam says of the family: Transfer RNA (tRNA) molecules are approximately 80 nucleotides in length. The record is from RNAcentral. Lineage: Bacteria; Pseudomonadati; Bacteroidota.
GUGCUCAUAGCUUGAUUAGUUUGUAGAAUCUGACUCAUAAUCAGGGGGUCACUGGUUCGAUCCCAGUUGGGCCCA